This 474-nucleotide ribosomal RNA is filed under the name uncultured bacterium. Its description in RNAcentral is "partial 16S ribosomal RNA". It matches the Rfam family "Bacterial small subunit ribosomal RNA", at positions 29 to 504 of the family's 1533-position model. The record is from RNAcentral.
AUUGAACGCUGGCGGCAUGCCUUACACAUGCAGGUCGAACGGUAACAGGUUAAGCUGACGCGUGGCGAACGGGUGAGUAAUGUAACGGAACGUGCCCAGCCGUGGGGGAUAACUGCUCGGAAGCGCAGCUAAUACCGCAUACGACCUGCGGGUGAAAGCGGGGGAUCGCAAGACCUCGCGCGAUUGGAGCGGACGAUAUCAGAUUAGGUAGUUGGUGGGGUGAAGGCUCACUAGGCCGACGAUCUGUAGCUGGUCUGAGAGGACGACCAGCCACACUGGGAAUGAGGCACGGCCCAAACGCCUACGGGAGGCAGCAGUGGGGAAUACUGGACGAUGGGCGCAAGCCUAAUCCAGCCAGGCCGCGUGCGGGAAGAAGGCCUGCGGGUUGUAAACCGCUUUUGUCAGGGAAGAAAAGGUUCUGGCUAAGAGCUGGGACUCAUGACGGUACCUGAAGAAGAAGCACCGGCUACCGUC